GGGCGUAUAGUUUAUUGGUAAAACGUCGCAUUCACAUUGCGAAGACGCCAGGUUCGAUUCCUGGUGCGCCCA
This 72-nucleotide transfer RNA is filed under the name bacterium. Its description in RNAcentral is "tRNA-Val". It matches the Rfam family "tRNA". From Rfam's summary of the family: Transfer RNA (tRNA) molecules are approximately 80 nucleotides in length. Their secondary structure includes four short double-helical elements and three loops (D, anti-codon, and T loops). The record is from RNAcentral.